This 896-nucleotide ribosomal RNA is filed under the name uncultured organism. RNAcentral's name for it is "bacterial SSU rRNA". It matches the Rfam family "Bacterial small subunit ribosomal RNA", at positions 1 to 917 of the family's 1533-position model. The record is from RNAcentral.
UGGAUCCAGACUUUGAUCAUGGCUCAGAACGAACGCUGGCGGCAUGGAUUAGGCAUGCAAGUCGAACGGUGCAGCAAUGCACAGUGGCGCAAGGGUGAGGAACGCGUGAGUAACCUGCCCUUAAGUUGGGAAUAGCUCCUGGAAACGGGAAUUAAUACCGAAUGUGAUCGCCGGAAGACAUCUUCUGGUGAUUAAAGGCCGCAAGGUCGCUUAAGGAGGGGCUCGCGUCCCAUUAGCUAGUUGGUGAGGUAACGGCCCACCAAGGCGAAGAUGGGUAGCUGGUCUGAGAGGACGAUCAGCCACACUGGGACUGAGAUACUGCCCAGACUCCUACGGGAGGCUGCAGUCGAGAAUUUUGGGCAAUGGGGGCAACCCUGACCCAGCAAUGCCGCGUGCGGGAUGAAGGUCUUCGGAUUGUAAACCGCUGUCAAGAGGGACGAAUACAAUUGACGGUACCUCUGGAGGAAGUCACGGCUAACUACGUGCCAGCAGCCGCGGUAAUACGUAGGUGACAAGCGUUGUUCGGAUUCAUUGGGCGUAAAGGGUCCGCAGGUGGUUUGAUAAGUCUGACGUGAAAUACCGGAGCUCAACUCCGGAACUGCGUUGGAGACUGUUGAACUGGAGUAUCGGAGAGGAAAUUGGAAUUCCAGGUGUAGCGGUGGAAUGCGUAGAUAUCUGGAAGAACAUCGACAGCGAAGGCAGAUUUCUGGACGAUAACUGACACUCAGGGACGAAAGCAUGGGGAGCAAACAGGAUUAGAUACCCUGGUAGUCCAUGCCCUAAACGUUGUAAACUUGAUAUGGGGAGAUUUACUCCUUUCCGUGUCGAAGCUAACGCGAUAAGUUUACCGCCUGGGAACUACGGCCGCAAGGCUACAACUCAAAGGAAUUGACGGA